UAGGGAAUCUUCCGCAAUGGACGCAAGUCUGACGGAGCAACGCCGCGUGAGUGAAGAAGGAUUUCGGUUCGUAAAACUCUGUUGUUAGAGAAGAACAGCGCAUAGAGUAACUGUUAUGCGUGUGACGGUAUCUAACCAGAAAGCCACGGCUAACUACGUGCCAGCAGCCGCGGCAAUACGUAGGUGGCAAGCGUUGUCCGGAUUUAUUGGGCGUAAAGCGAGCGCAGGCGGUCAAUUAAGUCUGAUGUGAAAGCCCCCGGCUCAACCGGGGAGGGUCAUUGGAAACUGGUUGACUUGAGUGCAGAAGAGGAGAGUGGAAUUCCAUGUGUAGCGGUGAAAUGCGUAGAUAUAUGGAGGAACACCAGUGGCGAAGGCGACUCUCUGGUCUGUAACUGACGCUGAGGCUCGAAAGCGUGGGUAGCAAACAGG
Molecule: ribosomal RNA, 429 nt
Filed under: Bacteroidota bacterium
Lineage: Bacteria; Pseudomonadati; Bacteroidota
Description: Bacteroidetes bacterium partial 16S ribosomal RNA
Rfam family: Bacterial small subunit ribosomal RNA
Source: RNAcentral